ACGCACGCUGGCGGCAUGCCUAACACAUGCAAGUCGAACGAGACCUUCGGGUCUAGUGGCGCACGGGUGCGUAACGCGUGGGAAUCUACCCUCAGGUUCGGAAUAACUCAGAGAAAUUUGAGCUAAUACCGGAUGAUGACGUAAGUCCAAAGAUUUAUCGCCUGAGGAUGAGCCCGCUUAGGAUUAGGUAGUUGGUGAGGUAAAGGCUCACCAAGCCGACGAUCCUUAGCUGGUCUGAGAGGAUGAUCAGCCACACUGGGACUGAGACACGGCCCAGACUCCUACGGGAGGCAGCAGUGGGGAAUAUUGGACAAUGGGCGAAAGCCUGAUCCAGCAAUGCCGCGUGAGUGAUGAAGGCCUUAGGGUUGUAAAGCUCUUUUACCCGGGAUGAUAAUGACAGUACCGGGAGAAUAAGCUCCGGCUAACUCCGUG
This 432-nucleotide ribosomal RNA is filed under the name uncultured bacterium. RNAcentral describes it as "partial 16S ribosomal RNA". It matches the Rfam family "Bacterial small subunit ribosomal RNA", at positions 29 to 507 of the family's 1533-position model. The record is from RNAcentral.